Molecule: ribosomal RNA, 509 nt
Filed under: uncultured bacterium
Lineage: Bacteria
Description: bacterial SSU rRNA
Rfam family: Bacterial small subunit ribosomal RNA
Source: RNAcentral
GAUGAACGCUAGCGGCAGGCCUAACACAUGCAAGUCGAGGGGCAGCGGAAGAAUUACUUCGGUAGUUCUGCCGGCGACCGGCGCACGGGUGAGUAACGCGUAUGCAACCUACCUUUAACAGGGGGAUAAUCUGGAGAAAUCUGGUCUAAUACCCCAUAACACUAUUUGGGGCAUCCCGAGUAGUUAAAAACUCCGGUGGUUAAAGAUGGGCAUGCGUUGUAUUAGCUAGAUGGUGAGGUAACGGCUCACCAUUGCUAUGAUACGUAGGGGGACUGAGAGGUUAACCCCCCACACUGGUACUGAGACACGGACCAGACUCCUACGGGAGGCAGCAGUGAGGAAUAUUGGUCAAUGGACGCAAGUCUGAACCAGCCAUGCCGCGUGCAGGAUGACGGCUCUACGAGUUGUAAACUGCUUUUGUACGAGGGUAAACCCAGAUACGUGUAUCUGGCUGAAAGUAUCGUACGAAUAAGGAUCGGCUAACUCCGUGCCAGCAGCCGCAGUAAAAC